UGUAACACAUCAGCUCUCAAAAGCAUUUCUGUUUCUUUCCGUUCUCACUUUGUCAUUGGAGGUGGCAGACAUGCCUUGAAGCUGGUUGCCAUAAAGUGGGAAAUUCAUGAACAUUUCUUCUUUUUGUAUACUCUUUUUACAGUUAUGUUAACAGACUCUCUCUCCUUUCUCCACCACUUUUAUUUUCAGCAAAAUGUAUUUGCCCAAAAAGGGACAAAACACACAAUUGUCAAGGUUAAACCAAGGUGACCCGAACACAGACACACAGGCAGGGCAAACAAUUACAGCACAAAGAGGAGUUUAAUUAACAUAAAGCUGAAAAUCCAAACAGAAAAAUCAGAAAAUGUAGCAACAAGUAAAAAUGUAACAACAGGCAGACAACAGAGAAGGAGCAAAAAAUUAAACAAAUGCAGAACAAAAUACAAAACGGAAAUAACAUGAGGAAUAGACAAACUGACAAUGACAGAGGGGAAGAAAAGGAUUUAAAUACACAGUGAUAAAGGGGCUGAUAAACUAAAAAAGCACAGGUGAGAAGAGAAAAAGGUGGGAAAGCAGACAGAGGGAGGAAAUGAAAAGCAACCCACGGCACAUGGGGACAGAACUUCAAAAUAAAACAGGAAAUAACAAAACCAAAACUCAAACCAUGACAACGAUAAACAAAGAAUAAUGAAUGAAUUGAAAUUAGUUUUAUCUUUUCAAAUUCUCCAUAGAUAUAACAACAAUAUUUGUUCCCAGCUUAAUUAAUGUGAUUGUUUUUGGGUUUCUUUACCCCUGAAACUGAAUAUCUUUGGGUUGUGGACAAUACCAAAUAUCUAAGGAUGGUAUAUUGAGCUUUGGGAAAACCUGACUGACAUACAUUUGAAAAUAUGUUAAGAAUAUAAUAAUCUAAAAGAAUCUCAGGCUUUAUAUUUAUCAAUUCAUUUUUUAAACAUAAACACUUGCCCUGAAACAGAAUGUAAGUACAUCAAGAACACUGAACAUGUUUGAACUAGAUGGAACAUUAUCUGAUGUAUUUGGAAAGAAAAUGAGGUAGAGGGCUGGGUGCUGUUACUGUUUGAUUUUGAAAACCACCCAUUAUUGCAUGUUUUUUAACCUAGAUCCAUAAAAGAAGACACGUUGUCUCCAUAGAGGUUUUGGCAGUACUGCAUUAGCAGGUUAAUGUUAAAAUAGCACAGGCCAGGGGUCUGAAAACAGCUGGAGUGGGUGAGUCAACACAUCCCCCCACUGGGCUGCACAUUCCCCCGAGCUCCCGGCCAGUGAGUGUGAUAUGAUGAAGAACAUCCUCCCGGACUCUGCUGUGGUUGGACGAGGCAGCUGUCCAGUCUCCCCUGGGGUCAAUCUUGUAGAACUUGCUGAAGAAGUUCAGCUGGAUGACAACAAAGCCCGGAGUGACCUCCAUGUGUGAUAUCAUCAGAUUUCUCUGAUGUUAUAAACACAUUCAUUUAUACACAACAAAGUCACUAUAUGAGCAUUAUCAGUGUUUCAAAAAACACAGAUUUUGUCCAGCUUGUAUCACACUAUUGCUCACAGGUGGCUUAGACCCAAAUCAAUUUGACAAACAAUUGAUCAUUUUGUGCAUUAACAAAAUCACUGAAUGGAUGAUGCUAAACUAACACUUAUUAUUACUGCAGCUAUAAUCCAAUGAAGUUGAAGUUAGAUCAUGCUGUGCAAAAUGACAGAAAAUAUCAGCAAGACUGAGCAAAAUGUAAAAAUACAGUUUCAUGCUCAGAAAAGACACAAAGAGAAAACCGAAUUCGCUAACAAAAACUACUGCCGUGAUAAUUGCGAGUGUGUUAGUGACUAGUGUUGACAUGUUUCCAUUUAUAUCCACUGGUUUUGUGAUUUUGGUGUGUUUGUAGCACUUUGAAAAGGUGACAAUGUGCAAGCGUAUAGGUAACUUUCACGAGUGGCGUACUGUAUGUAUCAAUUACCUGGUCUGGUCUGGAUGGAUUUCUGACAGAUGGAGUGAUUUCAGCGCUAAAUUGUUGUUAUUGCCGCUGUUUUGACAUUGAUUUUUCCUUAUUUCCCAGAGUGGUCACAGUAUAAUUUUUGCAACCCCUCAAUCAAAAUGAAUCAAAACAUCUUAAUGAACUUCUCAUGGUGUGAAAUGGGAAGAAAACAAUACCCGCCAGUCUGGACUGGGGCUCCUAUGGAGACUCCCUGAUGUUUUCUAAUCAUGCUCUGCCACAUUUCACAUGUUAAGGUCUUUUUAUAAAGCAGGAACAUUAUGCUGCUUGUGGCAAGCUGAUCAUAUGUUACCCUGGCAACUUGCUAUGCAUCCUCGGUUCCUCAUGUUGUGAUCAGCUGAAAUGCCACAAACAUCUCUGUGAUGUUUGAUAUGAUCACAAUGCUGCUGUCAUGGACAUGUUGGCCAAACAUUUCUGUUGCUGUUGUCAGUGGGUGGGAAUCUUUGACAUUGAGAUUGUUGCCCAUGUGCCCUUUAAAUGCACUGUGUCUAGCCAGAGAAGAUGCUGCUUCUCUGCUUUGCAUUUUUUUCCUUUGCAGUUCAGGUUUACGACCAGCCUCUGCGCUAUGAUUCCCUUCGCACGGGCCCGUAGCUAAUCAAAGCCUCUCUUUCUGCUUAGCUGUCAUGCACACAAAUUCCCAACAGCACAUCCUUAUUAGCCCUGAGUCUAAAGCGCACCAAAGUCAACUGACAGGCCUCCCAGGCCCCGCAAGAGCAAUUCUUAAGAAGUGUUUCAUUCUCCCUGUCAGACACAUGUGGAUCUGAGCUGAUGACUUUGCAACUUAUGUCUGAGAGUUUCUCCUCCCACCUCGGCAUCUGUGUUCCCGGUAUAAUGAUAUCAGUGGAGGUUGCUCUGUUAUGGCAGCUGUAAUAAUCUGCAAUCGCAGCAAAGCCAGAUUUGAUCUCAGGAUUAAGCAAACGAUGUUCCCAGAGUCACUUUGAUAACGUUACAUCAUUAGUAAGUGCCCUACUUGUCCUCAAGAAUCAAGAGUCAGGUUCCAUUUAUUUAUUUUUUUAUGGCAAGUGAUAUGUCACUAAGGUGCAUGGGUUAUAUUCAUACCUCAGGGUUUAGUGAACAGAUAUCGCUGUCAGUGGAGAAAAUGGUAAAGAAUGAAAGCUGAAACCACAAAUUUUGAAACUCCUGCAUGUUGUUGACAUUGCACGCUGUGAGAGCUGACUGAAUGAACUGAGGACCCACAGCAAAUAUCUGCAGAGUUGUUGUGGAGGAUUUUGCAGAAGCUUGCUAUCUAUUUUAUGUCAAAAAUUUUAAAUUUGGGGAUUGCACCAUUUCGUUUUCGAGGGGGUCCUCAUUAGAAUCUGCUCGAAGGGUACCUGAAAGAUGUGUCAGCUGGAGUGGUGGAAAUGAGGGAAAAGAUACGAAUAAGCUAUUAUUAAUGGCUAUAAUGCACAUAUAGGGCACAUCCUAAGUCAUCCUAAGUUUCCAUCACUUGCGUCUUUUUCCUUACAUCAUAGUCCCUCCAGUGGAGGUAGACAGGGAAACCAUGUAAAUAGAGAGGAAACGAUGAAAUGUGUUUGAAAUGUGAGUGAUUAGAUGUCCUUUCCUUUCCUAAAGUGUCAUGAAUGUCCCUUUCCCACCACCAAUGGUUGCCUGGUCAAAUAAUCAAGCCAGAGUUGGCGUCCCAUUUGUGACUAAGAGUCAAGAGUGAUUUAUAAGUUUUGUUAAGGAACUGACUUAAUGUACGUACACAACGUUACAUAUGUGAGCUACAUACCUAUGUAACUAACUUUGAGUAAGUUACGAAAAUGAUCUUUUCCCAAACCAAGACCAUUUGACAAUAUUAAUAACAGUCCAAAAGACAUUAAAUGAUAACUGUUUGUGUCAAACUGGACACUGCAUAUCAUGUAUUCUUGCUAACUUGGCUGUAGAGCUCUUCACAUGCAAAUCUGACACUGGAGGUUAAAGUAGAGCUUCAUAUUUUGAGGCUGAAGGCCACUGACCCAGCUGCCAUAUGUUUCUAGUUGGAUUGUCAUGCAAAGCAGUGCCAUCUCGUUCAAAUAUGCCAGACGCAUUGUGGAGUUUUUACGUGUAAUGAUGUCUAGCUGAAAGUCCUCCGUGAAGGCUGCUCUCAUGUAUCCUCAGUCAUCGCUCCCCAGAGAUCCCCUCCUUGUUCCCUGGAGAGGAAAUAAGAGCUUUGGAGUAACUUGGGGGAUGACGCACCAGAACAAUUUGAUGGUCAAGCGAAGAUCGAGCAGCGCCAGUGCGGAUGUACCCACGUCGCUGACAUCAGUGCCUUCUCUCUUUUUUGACCUCACUUUAUGUCACCCAUGGCAGUUUUGACCCAACAAGCCAAUAAACCAAUUGCAAUAUUCCAUCACACCUAGCAAAUAUUCGUAAUAUACAUGAAAAUAUUAUUACAUAUAGACAGUUAUGUUCUAGAAUUUUAGAUGUUUUGUUACUGUUUGCUAGUGUUGUUCUGCAGAGCUGAAUCUGACAUCUUUCAACACAAAAGUGAGGCUCGGCUUGGACUUGACACCUCUGAGACGUGACUUAACUUCAUACUUGACUUGAGAGUUGAAGGCAAGAAAACACUGAAGUCUCAAGUUUCAUCCCAGUAACAAUAAAAAUACAUUAUUGCUCAACAGACUUGAGACUUGACUCAAACUUGCCUCAGACUCCUGUGGAUACAUGAAUAUGAUCUUAAACUCACAAGACUCUCCUGUGUAAUCAAAGGAAAUAUGAAGCUCUCCGCAGGUCUUCCUCCCGCUGCGAGCACUUGCAGAUGUGCUCGCCGUGGAGCUUAUUCUGUUCUUCUGAGGCUGUGACAGAGCCGAUGGAUUAUUCAAUAGUGUAAUGAACGAGGUGUCUGAAACGUUCAGCUCCACUGUUGGCCAGAAUGAUUUCUCUUGGUCUACCUCUGUCUUGCUAUACGUUGCUCUUAUUGAUUAUGAUGAGGCUUUCUCCUCUCCAGUUAUUACAAUAUUGAUCUGGGAACAGAGCGGAUAGAGGGGUGAAGUUUUGGAGGCGGAGGAACUAAAAGCUGAGUGAGGAAUCGAUGGGCCGCGACCACAUGCGAGCACUCUAAGCUAAGUUUAGAAUUGUGGCAUCAUUAACCCUGGGUGUCUGAGGUUACAGCCAAGAAUAAUCAAAAAAACAAUUAACAGAAAAAUUUUGAAAAGAAAAGAAAAUCAAGCCAUGGAAAAUAUGUACUAAUAUCUUCUCUACUUGGCACGCUACAUUUUGUGUGAGAGGGAGAGAGCUGGUAACAGGGCUUGUCAUCGUUGGCAUCUGGUGGUAGCUAGCUAAUUCACAAAGGCAAGACUUUGAGGGCUAUAGACAUAAGAAGCUUUCACAAAAAGGGGAAAUGAUGAAGGCAACGUGCUGCAGGAAAGGCUUGAGGAGGUGGAUGAAGAGUUAUCUCCCGUUGCUGUAGCAGCAGAUGAGUCAGGACGUGAGAGCACCACUGCCUCGUGUACAGUGCAAGCUCAGGAGAGAGGAGAGCAGGAGGAAAUGAGGAGAGGGAAAGACAGAUGAGACAACAAAAGAGCGACUGGAGAGGAGAGUAUCAGGUAGAGACAUUAGAGUUCAGGAGGAGUCCUUGUCAUACAUGAUUGGUCAGUCAUCGACAUUCAGCAACGCACUGGCAGCAUACAAUCUAGCAUAUGAUUGCUUCACCAAUGCCAAAGCUCUUACUUUUGAAUGUGUUUUUCAAAGUUGAACGAGAACUCAGAUUGCACUCAUUUUGUUUGAUACAUACCUACCUGGAACCUUUGUAUAGAGCACAGAGUUUAAAUCUUAUAUUCAUUUCACUUACUAUUUCAAGAAUAGUGCAAUUAUAGGGUGAAAAUCUUAAGAGUCCUAGACAGGGCUUAACCGCCCAUAUUUCAAGAUCCUAACAGCGCCUCUGUUGAGGUAGACAGUUUCAGUAGCCUGACAUUUUGAGGACUUUAUUAUAGGAGGAUGACACACCAGGAGGGUUACUGUAAAGGGUAGUUUUCUUACCAGAGGAGAAAUGUGUUUUGUCUCUGAUCUUUUUUGGCUGGAUCAAAUGUAUUUGGAGAGUGGUUAGUUUGGAAGUUAGUUGAAUGCCAUCUCUAGGAAAUAUAUAUAUAUAUUAUAAUAUAUAUAUAACAGCAGCUUUUCUGAUAUUUUUCCAUUUUUAAUGGAGUAUGAAACCUUUUUUGCACAUAUUUUUGGAAACUUAAGCAUCAGCCCACGGCGUUGAUUCAUUAUGGUUGGCAACGGUUGAUGUGCUCGGAGACCGAAAACCUCUGUGGUGCGCUAUUAGCAUGUCACUGACAUGUAUAGCUUAUGAACAUUGAUAGCCUACAGUAUUUUCCUGCUUUCUCAACACACAUCUCACAUGGCAUUAAGUAUGUACUGUUAGGGAUUUGAGACAUUUUCGCUCGACAACAUUGAACAUUUGGCAGGCCCCAUCUUGCUUACAAGUCUGUAAUCCACUCAAAAAGUGAAAGCUAACAGCUUAGCUAGCUAAAGAUGGCACAAAAUUCCCACAAGACCAUACUAGAAAGCUAGUAUGUAACUGUAAUAAUGUAAUUUCUUCUUGUUGGUAAUAAGAAUUUUCUGUAUUAUAUGGAAAACACUUCACAUCCAAUCAAUUUCAAUAGGCUACCAUCACAUUUGAAAAGAUGUAGUCUUUUCAGACGUCUGUAGGACUUCAGUGUGUCCUCAGUGUGUCCCUGACCGUCUCCCCUCUCUUCGUCUCUAAACACAAACUCCACAGUCUGAAGGUCUGCGGAGGAUUGCAUCCCCUCAGUUCAUUUCUGUGUCUGUUUGCCCGCUCCUUGGAGCUUAGUAAAGCAGAAAGUGAGUCUUCUUCCAAACUCAGCCUCCCCUGGUGUGCGACCUCAAUUACAGAGGCAGAGAGAUUAUGGGUCAGAAUUAAUACCACUCUUAAUCUGUACACACUCCUCGCCAACUCCUUCUAUCUGCCCUCACCCUCCAUCUAGUGUCUUCAUUCGAUGCCAGUUUCUUUUAAUAAACAGAUGAUAGUUUG
Acanthopagrus latus (yellowfin seabream) is the source of this 6942-nucleotide long non-coding RNA. RefSeq lists it as uncharacterized. The transcript is spliced from 2 exons. The record is from RefSeq and is a predicted model, not a curated record. NCBI's taxonomy places the organism in Eukaryota, Metazoa, Chordata, Actinopteri, Spariformes, Sparidae.